Molecule: ribosomal RNA, 371 nt
Filed under: uncultured bacterium
Lineage: Bacteria
Description: bacterial SSU rRNA
Rfam family: Bacterial small subunit ribosomal RNA
Source: RNAcentral
GUAGGGUGCAGGCGUUAAUCGGAAUUACUGGGCGUAAAGCGUGCGCAGGCGGUCUGCUAAGAGAGAUGUGAAAUCCCCGGGCUUAACCUGGGAACUGCGUUUCUAACUGGCAGGCUUGAGUGUGGCAGAGGGGGGUGGAAUUCCACGUGUAGCAGUGAAAUGCGUAGAGAUGUGGAGGAACACCGAUGGCGAAGGCAGCCCCCUGGGCUAACACUGACGCUCAUGCACGAAAGCGUGGGGAGCAAACAGGAUUAGAUACCCUGGUAGUCCACGCCCUAAACUAUGUCAACUGGUUGUCGGGGAAGCAAUUCCUUGGUAACGAAGCUAACGCGUGAAGUUGACCGCCUGGGGAGUACGGCCGCAAGGUUAAA